GAUGAACGCCGGCGGUGUGCCUAAUACAUGCAAGUCGAGCGCACUGGCCCAACUGAUAUGACGUGCUUGCACUGAUUUGACGAUGGAUUACCAGUGAGCGGCGGACGGGUGAGUAACACGUGGGCAACCUACCCUAAAGCGGGGGAUAACAUUUGGAAACAGGUGCUAAUACCGCAUAACUACGAAAACCACAUGGUUUUCGUAUCAAAGAUGGUUUCGGCUAUCACUUUAGGAUGGGCCCGCGGUGCAUUAGCUAGUUGGUAGGGUAACGGCCUACCAAGGCAAUGAUGCAUAGCCGAGUUGAGAGACUGAUCGGCCACAAUGGAACUGAGACACGGUCCAUACUCCUACGGGAGGCAGCAGUAGGGAAUCUUCCACAAUGGGCGCAAGCCUGAUGGAGCAACACCGCGUGAGUGAAGAAGGGUUUCGGCUCGUAAAACUCUGUUGUUGAAGAAGAACGUGCAUGAGAGUAACUGUUCAUGCAGUGACGGUAUUCAACCAGAAAGUCACGGCUAGCUAC
Molecule: ribosomal RNA, 520 nt
Filed under: uncultured bacterium
Lineage: Bacteria
Description: bacterial SSU rRNA
Rfam family: Bacterial small subunit ribosomal RNA
Source: RNAcentral